UUAAGCACUAUUCCAGUAAUGUUAUCAGGUCCCGUUGCCUUUUUUGGGUUUAUAUUUUUAAUUAAUUUAUAGAUGCCUUCUCUGUUGAUGUCUAUGUCGUCCAUUAUUGGAUGUGUUGAUGGACCUUUGUCAGGGAUAACUGUAUUGGUCUCAGAUGUAAAAGCUGAUUUAAAUUGUUCAUUUAAUAUGUUAGCUUUUUUCAAGGGAUCUGUAUGAAGUAAACCUUCACUCCUAAGAGGUGCAAUACCAGUGUUUUCAUUGUUUUGGCCUUUUAUGUAUGAAAAGAGUUUUUUAGGUUGUUUGUUAAAUCUCGAAUUUUCAGGCUCUUGUAUUUCAAUGUCAAAAAUCAUGUUUUCG
Molecule: long non-coding RNA, 357 nt
Filed under: Mytilus galloprovincialis (Mediterranean mussel)
Lineage: Eukaryota; Metazoa; Mollusca; Bivalvia; Mytilida; Mytilidae
Source: RNAcentral